GUUACACACGCGUACCGCUAGUGGCGGGAGGUAGCGGUAAAAUAAAACGAGAAAAGGCUGCGCACCGCGUUGCGUGCAGCGGCGGUGGAGCGGAUUCCCACAAACGAAACACUUUACACGAAGGACGCUCAACCCUGUGAAGGGACAACAAAGGCUGCGGACGCAGGAGUACCCGUACGAGUUACAGGGUGCCCGCACUUUUCUUCGUGCUUUUGAAGGAAACGAAAUCUGUGUGCCAGACCGCAAAAACGCAGCAAGGUUCCAGGCCUCUUCUCUCGUAUACAGGGAUGGCGGUCGCAAAACCAACCGGCCAGCUGAGCUCCGUCAUUCUGGAUUGCGGUGCGCUCGAAAGUGGCACCAGUCAGGGCUCACAACCACAGCCAGCCAAGAUCGAAAUGAACCCCUCGAAAUCAAGCAAGUCAGAAAAGGAGCCACCAAGAAUGAUCGCUUGCAGAGGGAUAGGGUGUACGGCUAUGGCCUUCGCCGCCAUUUGGCUCACAGCGGGCGCCGUCAUGAUUGCCAUGCACGAAACGUCCAGAGUUAAUUCCCACAACCUCACCCGCGUUUACAAAAUUCCCGUAGACUAUAUUGGUGCUUGUUUAAUUGCUGCCGGUGGGCUGUUUGGACUAUUUGCUAUGCUGAUGUAUUGGCGGCAGAGAACGGUGUAGACAAUAACGCUCGCGCGACAUCCGCAUGGAUAGGUCGCUCUAUUCAGCGACUGUUAUCACUCUCGUCUGCACGUGUUUCUUCUGCGGACGAAUGCCCUUUUACGAGAAAUGGAAUGCUUUAGUGUUUCUGUUUGGGUGUUUAGUGUUUUACAAGGCGGUAUAUGCCACGUCAACGAAUGAUCGGCGAAGUUAUCAAUUUGCUCGCUCAAUUGUUUUUAUUGAAAUGUUGUAUCGAAAUGUUUUUAGAGCCUUGGAGUGCAAUGAUAACUUUAACAAACCCCAUGAUGCGAAGAAUGUGCGUGCCGCGUUUGUUCUCGAAUACAAGUAUACGCGACAUGCUGCUACAUUUCAAUGCAAAUAUGUAUACGUACGCACGUUGUGAGGUAUAUGUCAACUAACCUUGCAUUUCCACUCCUGUGAUACGAAAUGCAUUCCACAAAGUUCUUACAACAAAAGUUGUAAACUUUUAGUUUUGCGAAACGUGUUCACGUUUUGUAAUUAAGUGUCACCGUUCAACAUACAUGCGAGGAAAAUGUCUCGUGUGUACAGAAAAAAGUCAUGUAAAUAAAACUGUUCAAGAUGGCCGAA
Molecule: long non-coding RNA, 1256 nt
Organism: Ornithodoros turicata
Lineage: Eukaryota; Metazoa; Arthropoda; Arachnida; Ixodida; Argasidae
Exons: 3
Source: RefSeq, a predicted model, not a curated record